Molecule: long non-coding RNA, 1224 nt
Organism: Hipposideros armiger (great roundleaf bat)
Lineage: Eukaryota; Metazoa; Chordata; Mammalia; Chiroptera; Hipposideridae
Exons: 3
Source: RefSeq, a predicted model, not a curated record
CACAAUUUAUCAACUGAUUAUGAGGCAGUUCUUAUGCAUGGAAUGGGAUAAGCUCUUUUUCAAUCAUCUGUUGGGGAAAGAGGCUCAACAUCAAGGAAAUUGACACAUGUUUAAUUACUGAUAUUGACUAGCUUAUAAACACAAUGUGAACAGAGGCCGUUUCAACCACACAAUUAUUUUGUUGCAAAUGGUUAUCUAGUUUCAUCUGGAAGAGGCUGGAGUGUUUUCUGAUAACAAACUACCCCCAAACCUUGGCAGUUUACAACAACCAAGGUUUAUUUUUCAAAUAUACUACCUUCCCAGUGAGUGUUAGGAGAGGGUUCUGCUCCACGUCUUUCUCUCCAUGGGACUCACAGUGAUGGAGGAGUCUCUCUUUAACGUUGAUGUUCAUUAUGGCAAAGGCAAAGGUGAACCUCAAGCUAUGACUUAAGCUUCUACCUAAAUUUCACACAAAUUGCUUCCACUCUCAUGUCCAUUUCAGCGGAAGAGGAAGUCAAUCCAAACCUGAUUUCAGUAUCUUAGGGAAAUAUAAUCCCACAUACAGAGGGGAAGCAGAUAUGAUUGAAUGGUAAUAAAAUCCAUUAUUCCAUAAAUCCCCCAAUAGCACUGAUUUAUUUGAGUGAAUUCUUUUUUUUUUAAUGGAAUCAGCUAAACUAGUUCUAAAGCAGGGGUCUUAUUGUUUAAAUAUGUUGUCUGACCUUGUGAGCAAAUUUCAACCAGAGGCUUAAAUAGAUGACCCAUUUUAGGACUAUCACCACCCAUAGCACUACAGGUUUUCCUGCUUAAGGGUUUCACACUUAAGUGUGAAAUAGGUACAUCUUUUACCAAAAGGGCCAAAGGAUCCCUCCUGCUCUGUUAGAUGCUGGCUUCCUCUACCAAGUUACUAAAACUAGUUGCAAGGUAUUGAGGUGUCACUCUUCAGCACAUUCACAGCGUCUGUGCUUAUGACAGCUCCCUGGUAAUUCCUCAUGAUUGCAUCACUCCCUGAUGGAAAUCCAGCUUUUAUUUCAGCAACAGUAAUGGGUUGUCCUGGACCCCUGACCUCACCUGAAGAUGUCUUUAUGUUGGAUUUGCCCUAUAUAUGGGGCAAUUGGUUCAAGACUUAGAGAAAUUUCUACAGACUCUCAUACCAGAACAAUGGGACGCAAAUGGGGGAAUUGGCCAGAAGAAAGAAUGGCUUUGGGUUUGGUGAAGUGGACCAAAAUGUGAAGGCAAUAUCAUAAA